UGGCGACCGGCGCACGGGUGAGUAUCGCGUUUGCAACCUACCCUUAACUGGGGGAUAGCCCAAAGAAAUUCGGAUUAAUACCCCAUUAAAUUUAAGAACGGCAUCGUUUUUUUAUUAAAGCUCUGGCGGUUAAGGAUGGGCAUGCGUGACAUUAGUUUGUUGGUGAGGUAACGGCUCACCAAGACUACGAUGUCUAGGGGGUCUGAGAGGAUGAUCCCCCACACUGGUACUGAGACACGGACCAGACUCCUACGGGAGGCAGCAGUGAGGAAUAUUGGGCAAUGGACGCAAGUCUGACCCAGCCAUGCCGCGUGCAGGAUGACGGCCCUAUGGGUUGUAAACUGCUUUUAUACAGGAAGAAAUCCUCCUACGUGUAGGAGGUUGACGGUACUGUAAGAAUAAGCAUCGGCUAACUCCGUGCCAGCAGCCGCGGUAAUACGGAGGAUGCAAGCGUUAUCCGGAUUUAUUGGGUUUAAAGGGUGCGCAGGCGGGGCAAUAAGUCAGUGGGAAAUCCUGCGGCUUAACCGUAGAACUGCCAUUGAUACUGUUGUCCUUGAGUAUAGUUGAGGUGGGCGGAACAUGUAAUGUAGCGGUGAAAUGCAUAGAUAUUACAUAGAACACCAAUUGCGAAGGCAGCUCACUAAGCUAUCACUGACGCUGAGGCACGAAAGCGUGGGGAGCGAACAGGAUUAGAUACCCUGGUAGUCCACGCCGUAAAC
This 719-nucleotide ribosomal RNA is filed under the name uncultured bacterium. Its description in RNAcentral is "bacterial SSU rRNA". It matches the Rfam family "Bacterial small subunit ribosomal RNA", at positions 89 to 807 of the family's 1533-position model. The record is from RNAcentral.